This 346-nucleotide long non-coding RNA is filed under the name Micromonas commoda. RNAcentral describes it as "long non-coding RNA (MCOM_LNC000012)". Lineage: Eukaryota; Viridiplantae; Chlorophyta; Mamiellophyceae; Mamiellales; Mamiellaceae. The record is from RNAcentral.
UAUAUCAGCAACCUUCCUCUAGUGCUGACACAGGAAUGAUGAAUGAAUUCAUUCGGUCGUUCUUGCAUCCAACUUUCACUUCUUUUUUGAAAACGUUUGAUACUCUUGUAUUGCACCCUGGCGCCGGGCAGCUCAAGGGUAUAUGGGUCGACGCGGGUUCCGCUUCAAUCCGGAAAUGUGCUCGAUCCUUGCCUGCUACGAUCCGAAUGGUAAGGAAAAUGUGAAAGCUGUGGACUACACCUGACCGUUAUCUUUGUUGGGCGACAAUCCAUUGCCGCUGUCCGAAUCCGGGAGCUUCAUCUCGGUCCGCGAGACACUGCUGGAUAUAUUAUAUACACUAAACCGU